AUUGAACGCUGGCGGCAGGCCUAACACAUGCAAGUCGAACGGUAACAGGAAGAAGCUUGCUUCUUUGCUGACGAGUGGCGGACGGGUGAGUAAUGUCUGGGAAACUGCCUGAUGGAGGGGGAUAACUACUGGAAACGGUAGCUAAUACCGCAUAACGUCGCAAGACCAAAGAGGGGGACCUUCGGGCCUCUUGCCAUCGGAUGUGCCCAGAUGGGAUUAGCUAGUAGGUGGGGUAACGGCUCACCUAGGCGACGAUCCCUAGCUGGUCUGAGAGGAUGACCAGCCACACUGGAACUGAGACACGGUCCAGACUCCUACGGGAGGCAGCAGUGGGGAAUAUUGCACAAAGGGCGCAAGCCUGAUGCAGCCAUGCCGCGUGUAUGAAGAAGGCCUUCGGGUUGUAAAGUACUUUCAGCGGGGAGGAAGGGAGUAAAGUUAAUACCUUUGCUCAUUGACGUUACCCGCAGAAGAAGCACCGGCUAACGCCGUG
This 490-nucleotide ribosomal RNA is filed under the name uncultured bacterium. RNAcentral's name for it is "partial 16S ribosomal RNA". It matches the Rfam family "Bacterial small subunit ribosomal RNA", at positions 30 to 507 of the family's 1533-position model. The record is from RNAcentral.